This 1395-nucleotide long non-coding RNA is filed under the name Homo sapiens (human). Its description in RNAcentral is "HSALNT0234851". Lineage: Eukaryota; Metazoa; Chordata; Mammalia; Primates; Hominidae. The record is from RNAcentral.
UAGGGAGCUGUCAUGUCUGGGGUCAUACCUGGAUCUUUCAUAACCUGGCAGGGAAGAAAGCCGGAGAUGAUGCUUUGAAUAACGAGUGUGACUGUGCUGUAAUUAAACUGGAUGUGUUCUCGGAGAAUUCUCCUGUUUUUGUGGCAGAAUCUGGCUGUGGUCACAGGUGAUGGGCCAGAUUUGUCCUACAGACUAUGGUUUGCUCACCUCUGGCUUGGAGCACUGGCUUAAGCAUCAGAUUACAUGAUUUUCUAGCUGUCAGACCUUUGGGAAAUUAUCUGAGAGCCUCAGUUGUGCCACCUGUAGAAUGGAGAUAAGGAUUCUAUGUAAAGCACUGGGUUGUUGAGAGAAUUAAAUGAGUUGAUGUAUGUGAGAUGCUGAACAUAGAGCCAAGCAGGAAGAGUCCAAGGUCAUGGGAGUCGUGGCUGAGAUUAGGAUGAUGGAGAUGAUGAUAGAGGGAGGGGAGCUGGGUCUCAGUGGAGCACUGGCUGGGAAGUCAGAAGCCUGGUUUCUAUACUCUCCUUAGCUGCUGACUCUGGGGGACCUGGGUGAAUCCUUCCUCCUCUCUGGCUUCAGUUUUGUCACCUUGCAGGUGAGGAAGUUGGACUGAGGAGUGUCCAGGCUUCCUUCCUACUCAAUAACUCUGGGAUUCUAUAGUGCCCUUUAAAAGAUAUGGCAUUGCGCAGUCGGCACUCGCUAAAAUCAGUGCCAUAUUAACCAUUGCACCCACUGACACCUCAAAGCCAAGGCCUCCCGCCGUCUGAAAACCUGGUCUUCAUCAGAAAGUCCCCAUCGCUGCUCUGUGAGGCCGCUCGUUCAUUUACUCAUUGGUGUGUUUGUUCAGAAGUGAUCAAGCCUCCUACCACAUGCAGCGCAGAUGCUGAAGCUACCAGGGCGAGGAUAACCAAAGUCUCUGCCCUCGUGUGACUGGCUCUCAUGAGAAAUCCCCUUUGUAGGGAACAAGUCUGAUCCGGCCGUGGUCACUGCAGGGAGCGAACGAGUCUGAUCCAUCUGUGGUCACUGAAGUGGGUGAACGAGUCUGAUCCGGCUGUGGUCACUGCAGUGGGGUGAAUUGUGUCCCUGAAAAAGAUGUGUCCACAUUCUAAUCUUCCAGACCGCACGAAUAUGAACUUAUUUGGAAAUAGAAUCUUCAUAGACAUAAUUAAGAUAAGGAUCUUGAGAUGAGAUCGUCUUGAACUUACGGUGGGUUGUAAAGCCGAUGACAGGUGUCCUCAUAAGAAGCAGAAGAGAAGACACAGACACACAUAGAGGAGAGGCCACAUGAAAACGGAAGCAGAGAUGGGAGUGAUGCAUCCACAAGCCAGGGAAUGCCUGGGGCCACCAGGAGUUGGAAGAGGCAGGAAGGAUCCCCGCUGGAGGCUUCAGAGGGAGCAG